UACGUAGGGUGCGAGCGUUAAUCGGAAUUACUGGGCGUAAAGCGUGCGCAGGCGGUUUGUUAAGUCUGAUGUGAAAGCCCCGGGCUCAACCUGGGAACUGCAUUGGAAACUGGCAGCUCGAGUAUGGCAGAGGGGGGUGGAAUUCCGCGUGUAGCAGUGAAAUGCGUAGAGAUGCGGAGGAACACCGAUGGCGAAGGCAGCCCCCUGGGCCAAUACGUGACGCUCAGGCACGAAAGCGUGGGGAGCAAACAGG
Molecule: ribosomal RNA, 253 nt
Filed under: uncultured bacterium
Lineage: Bacteria
Description: partial 16S ribosomal RNA
Rfam family: Bacterial small subunit ribosomal RNA
Source: RNAcentral